UGUAGUUGUGGGGAAUGUUGGCUGGCUCGAGGCUUUCUUGAGUGAUUUUAUGUAUACCUCAAAAAGCUUCGGACCAGGCUUCAUUCCCCUCAACACACUU
This 100-nucleotide microRNA precursor is filed under the name Vitis vinifera (wine grape). RNAcentral describes it as "miR166f stem-loop (vvi-MIR166f)". Its record names the gene vvi-MIR166f. It matches the Rfam family "mir-166 microRNA precursor family". From Rfam's summary of the family: This family represents the plant microRNA (miRNA) precursor mir-166. Animal miRNAs are transcribed as ~70nt precursors and subsequently processed by the Dicer enzyme to give a ~22nt product. In plants the precursor sequences may be longer, and the carpel factory (caf) enzyme appears to be involved in processing. Lineage: Eukaryota; Viridiplantae; Streptophyta; Magnoliopsida; Vitales; Vitaceae. The record is from miRBase by way of RNAcentral.